RNAcentral lists this ribosomal RNA (808 nucleotides) under uncultured bacterium. Its description in RNAcentral is "bacterial SSU rRNA". It matches the Rfam family "Bacterial small subunit ribosomal RNA", at positions 8 to 813 of the family's 1533-position model. The record is from RNAcentral.
AGAGUUUGAUCCUGGCUCAGGAUGAACGCUGGCGGCGUGCUUAACACAUGCAAGUCGAACGAAGCGCCUUGCCGGAACCCCUUCGGGGGGGAAGGCAUUGCGACUGAGUGGCGGACGGGUGAGUAACGCGUGGGCAACCUGCCCCAUACAGGGGGAUAACAGUUAGAAAUGACUGCUAACACCGCAUAAGCGCACAGGGCCGCAUGGCCCGGUGUGAAAAACUCCGGUGGUAUGGGAUGGGCCCGCGUCUGAUUAGCCAGUUGGCGGGGUAACGGCCCACCAAAGCGACGAUCAGUAGCCGACCUGAGAGGGUGACCGGCCACAUUGGGACUGAGACACGGCCCAAACUCCUACGGGAGGCAGCAGUGGGGAAUAUUGCACAAUGGGGGGAACCCUGAUGCAGCGACGCCGCGUGAGCGAAGAAGUAUCUCGGUAUGUAAAGCUCUAUCAGCAGGGAAGAAAAAUGACGGUACCUGACUAAGAAGCCCCGGCUAACUACGUGCCAGCAGCCGCGGUAAUACGUAGGGGGCAAGCGUUAUCCGGAUUUACUGGGUGUAAAGGGAGCGCAGGCGGCGCGGCAAGUCUGAUGUGAAAGCCCGGGGCUCAACCCCGGGACUGCAUUGGAAACUGUCGCGCUCGAGUGUCGGAGAGGUAAGUGGAAUUCCUAGUGUAGCGGUGAAAUGCGUAGAUAUUAGGAGGAACACCAGUGGCGAAGGCGGCUUACUGGACGACAACUGACGCUGAGGCUCGAAAGCGUGGGGAGCAAACAGGAUUAGAUACCCUGGUAGUCCACGCCGUAAACGAUGAA